CUGUAAAAAUUAACAAAAUUGUCAAUUUUAACCAAAAUCUCGGUUUUUCCCCCCAGCGGACCGCGAGUCGCAGUACGAGGAGGAGGAGGAGCGGGGGCGGGGCCGGAAGCGGAAGGGCCCGCCCAGUGGGCGGGGCCGGCCCCACCCCCCCAAGAAGAAGCGGAAGUAGCGGCGCCGCCCCUCCCCCACCCCCCGAAAUCGCCGCGUUUCGCCCCAAAAAUCCCGGCGGGGGGAGGGGGGGAAAAUUCCAGAAUUUGGGGGAAUUCAGCCCAAAAAUUUUGGGGGAAAUGCCCCGAAAAUUUGGGGGAAAAAACCCAAAAAUAUGGGGGAAUUUAUCCCAAAAAUUUGGGGGAAUUUAUUCCAAAAUUUGGGGGAAAUUAUUCCAAAAAUUUGGGGGGAAAUACCCAAAAAAUUUGGGGGAAAAUGUCCCAAAAUUCUGGGAAAAACCAACCCAGAUUUGAGGAGGAAAAUGGGAAUUUUGGGGGAAAUUAUCCCAAAAUUUUGGGGGGGAAAAAAAUAAUCUCAAAUUUUGGGGAAAAUGUCCCAAAAUUCUGGGGAAAAAAAAAAAAAAAAAAAACAACAAAUUUUGGGGUUUUUCCCAAAUUCCUGCAUUUCCCCCCAAAUCCGGGCCGGGGGGACCCCGAAUUUCCCCGAAUCCGCCCCAAAACGGCCCCGAAAUUCCCUUUUUUUGUUGUUUCUGUAUUUAUGGGGGGCUCCCCCUUUUUGGGGGGAAUUCUCCCGAUUUUGGGGCUCCCCC
RNAcentral lists this long non-coding RNA (757 nucleotides) under Junco hyemalis (dark-eyed junco). RNAcentral describes it as "lncRNA (ENSJHYG00000000482.1)". The record is from RNAcentral. Lineage: Eukaryota; Metazoa; Chordata; Aves; Passeriformes; Passerellidae.